UACGAAGGGGGCUAGCGUUGCUCGGAAUCACUGGGCGUAAAGGGUGCGUAGGCGGGUCUUUAAGUCGGGGGUGAAAUCCUGGAGCUCAACUCCAGAACUGCCUUUGAUACUGAGGAUCUUGAGUCCGGGAGAGGUGAGUGGAACUGCGAGUGUAGAGGUGAAAUUCGUAGAUAUUCGCAAGAACACCAGUGGCGAAGGCGGCUCACUGGCCCGGUACUGACGCUGAGGCACGAAAGCGUGGGGAGCAAACAGG
RNAcentral lists this ribosomal RNA (253 nucleotides) under uncultured bacterium. RNAcentral's name for it is "partial 16S ribosomal RNA". It matches the Rfam family "Bacterial small subunit ribosomal RNA", at positions 524 to 776 of the family's 1533-position model. The record is from RNAcentral.